This 1890-nucleotide long non-coding RNA is filed under the name Lynx pardinus (Iberian lynx). The record is from RNAcentral. Lineage: Eukaryota; Metazoa; Chordata; Mammalia; Carnivora; Felidae.
AGGUUUUAAGUAUGAUGCUUCCCUAAUACAUUCGGAUGUUUUCAGCCAAGUUGACUUCUGAACUAUGGGUUUCCUCCAAAUGUUGGCUGAAUUUUUUCCUUACAUAUCCCCAAGCUCAUCUGCAAGUGAAUGUCUGCAACACGGUGUGUGCGUGAAGUAAACCCAAAAUAGCCUCCGUGUUGGUUUUACCAGAGUAUUUAUAUUGGUAAUAGGAACUAAGUCAGAAUACAAAGAAUGUCACUUGAGGCCUUUGAUUAUUAAAAUUUUACUAAAUGCAUUAAACAUUCAGUAAAAUAGAAAAAUGUUUGGUUCGUGGAAAUACACUGAGUAAUUUAUUUUUAAUGAUGUCAUUGGAUGGGGAAAUUUAUAAACUCGGUGCUUUUCUUGAAAGUCAAGACUGGGCUUCUAUUUGAUAGAAAUGGAAUCGUUAUUUAAAGGAAAUGAUCUGUUUAUGCCAAAUUAGAGUUUUUUGAUUAUUUUCAUUACCCAGCUCUUUUAAGAGUAAAUUUAAUGGGAGUAUCAGCUCCAGGCAUGAAUACUAAACCCCUUUAAUGCGAGGUGUGUGUAAAACUUGUCAUUUCUCAUCAAAAUAGGGGCUGCUGAAUACAAGCAGAUGAGAGAAGUAGGGGAAAAAAUUGUUUUGCAGAAUAUUUGUGUCGUCUAUUGGGGAGAGCAAGGGACUGGAUUCAGUGAUAAAGAACAUUUUGUUAAUUAAGUAAGAAAAAUGGUUGUAUGACCAAAGAAAAAAAAGACUAAACAGAAGGCAACCCUAGUUAGUACAACAAAUGCUUCUCUGAAAACUUUCAGAGAGGGUAAAGUGACUUUUAACAGAAGAUAAAGCACUAUACAAUUAUUUUUAAAUAACACAGUGCAUUCCCCUAUCUCUGAUUGGGUCUUACAGAGACGAGGUGUCAGGUAUGACCAAAAGGGGACGCGUCACAACAAAUUCGAAAAUACACAACCCAUAUGUAAGGAAAAUGUUAAGCAGUGGGCAGCCUGAUUCCUCCUCUCUGUUUGCCUUUAAAGGCUAAACUUUUGUGUUGUUGUUUUUAUCCACGUGUAAAGUUGUUGAAUUUAAAAGCCAGAGAUUGGGCGAGUCCCCCCCCCCCAAGCCUAAAAUAGGAAAAAUCUAAACAUAUAUGCACAUUGGUUUUGUUUUCUGUUGUCAGCCAAGAUUUAUUAUGAAGAUUCGUAUUUCAUGUAUAUUAGUGCUGUCCAGAUGUCCUGAAACUCGUACCCCUUUUAUAUCACAUACGUGUGGGGGGGGGGGGGGGGGGGGUCCCCGGUUUAAAAAAAAAAAACUACGAAGAAAACACGUCCUUUCAACAGUAAUGAGUUCUAGUUGAUUCAUUGAGAAGGUUGUACUAAGUGACCUCCAGUGGAAAUAGCGAGGGUAUGCUUUCUGAGAGAUGUGUCAUUCAGGAACAAAAUCAAUUGAAGUAUUGGUAAUUAAACUGUAAUUCCAUGAAGGAAGGAAGUGGCGGGAAAGACGCAGCUAACUAUUGCUGUUUUUCUUUUUAAGAAUCCGCAGUUCAUAAUGGAGCUAACUGUACUGGCUGUCGGAAGGAGGAGAUUCUGAAGAUAGGGAGGUAAUAUUAUCUCUUUUAAGAGAAUACUUUCCUCUGUAAUCCUGAGCCUUUAUUACAUUUAAGAACUUUAUCUACCAGACAGCAAAGUCUUUAAAUGCGGGGUAUGGAACGAUCUGAUUUGCCCGUGCUGAGUUGUGAGCUGCCGCCCCCAGGGCUGCGGGCUGUGCCGGGAGAGCUGAGAAAUCUCAGCCAGGCAUACUCAGCACCCUUAAAAUAGCUUCUUUCUGAGAAUUAGAGCCGUGAUGGUGGCCUCCCCAGCGCAAGCAGACAUCAUUCUGGUUUGUGGCUGGUGUGCGUGCGU